AAUCAACGCUGGCGGCGUGCCUAACACAUGCAAGUCGCACGAGAAAGGGGAGCAAUCCCUGAGUAAAGUGGCGCACGGGUGAGUAACACGUGAAUCAUCUACCUCCGAGUGGGGAAUAACUGAGAGAAAUCUUAGCUAAUACCGCAUAACACUUACGAGUCAAAGCAGCAAUGCGCUUGGAGAGGAGUUCGCGGCCGAUUAGUUAGUUGGCGGGGUAAUGGCCCACCAAGACGAUGAUCGGUAUCCGGCCUGAGAGGGCGCACGGACACACUGGAACUGAAACACGGUCCAGACUCCUACGGGAGGCAGCAGUGGGGAAUUUUGCGCAAUGGGGAAACCCUGACGCAGCAACGCCGCGUGGAGGAUGAAGUAUCUUGGUACGUAAACUCCUUUCGAUUGGGAAGAUAAUGACGGUACCAAUAGAAGAAGCCCCGGCUAACUUCGUGCCAGCCGCCG
This 456-nucleotide ribosomal RNA is filed under the name uncultured bacterium. RNAcentral describes it as "bacterial SSU rRNA". It matches the Rfam family "Bacterial small subunit ribosomal RNA", at positions 32 to 517 of the family's 1533-position model. The record is from RNAcentral.